UGUAAACUAGGAUUAGAUACCCUAUUAUUUUGAGUGUUAAUGUUUUUGCCUGAGUAGUAUUAGUUGUGUUCUUGAAACUUAAAGAAUUUGGCGGUAUCCUAUUCCGUUCAGAGGAAUCUGUCUCGUUAUCGAUAGUCCGCGUUGGACCUUACUUAGAGUUAUAUUUUUGGUUUGUAUACCGCCGUUUAUUGAUUAUCUUUUUAGAGUUCCUUAAUUUUCUGGUUUCUUUAAUUUGAUUUAUUGCAGGUCAAGGUGCAGCUUUUUCUAAGUGUAAUGAUGGAUUACAGUGUUAUGUGUUGUUUGGAUUGUUUAUUUUAAUAUUGACAUGAAAUUGGAUUUGGUUGUAAUGUCUUGUAGAUAGUUUUCAUGAUAGUUGGUUCUAGGAUAUGUACACAACGCCGCGUCGCGUCUCAUUUUUCC
This 420-nucleotide ribosomal RNA is filed under the name Odontotermes longignathus. Its description in RNAcentral is "partial 12S ribosomal RNA". Lineage: Eukaryota; Metazoa; Arthropoda; Insecta; Blattodea; Termitidae. The record is from RNAcentral.